ACCGGAUACGACCCGCCACACUCAUGUGGAGGGUGGAAAGUUUUAGUCGGUCAGGGAUGGGCUCGCGGCCUGAUCAGCUUGUUGGUGGGGUAACGGCCUACCAAGGCGAUUCACGGGUAGCCGGCCUGAGAGGGCGACCGGCCACACUGGGACUGAGACACGGCCCAGACUCCUGCGGGAGGCAGCAGUGGGGAAUAUUGCGCAAUGGGCGAAAGCCUGACGCAGCGACGCCGCGUGGGGGAUGACGGCCUUCGGGUUGUAAACCUCUUUUACCACCAACGCAGGCUCGAAGUUCUCUUCGGGUUGACGGUAGGUGGGGAAUAAGGACCGGCGUAACUACGUGCCAGCAGCCUGCGGUAAUACGUAGGGUCCGAGCGUUGUCCGGAAUUAUUGGGCGUAAAGAGCUCGUAGGCGGCGUGUCACGUCUGCUGUGAAAGACCGGGGCUUAACUCCCGGUUCUGUCAGUGGAUACGGGCAUGCUAGAGGUAGGUAGUGGGAGACUGGAAUUCCUGGUGUAAUGCGGUGAAAUGCGCAGAUAUCAGGAGGAACACCGGUGGCUGAAGGCGGGUCUCUGGGCCUUACUCUGACGCUGAGGUAGCGAGAAGCAUGGGGAGCGAACAGGAUUAGAUAACUCUGGUAGUCCAUCCCUGUAAUACCUUGGGUCGCUAGGUGUGGGUGACUGUUCUCACGUUUCCCUCUC
RNAcentral lists this ribosomal RNA (700 nucleotides) under Nocardiopsis sp. R38.2. Its description in RNAcentral is "bacterial SSU rRNA". It matches the Rfam family "Bacterial small subunit ribosomal RNA", at positions 168 to 846 of the family's 1533-position model. Lineage: Bacteria; Bacillati; Actinomycetota; Actinomycetes; Streptosporangiales; Nocardiopsidaceae. The record is from RNAcentral.